This 395-nucleotide ribosomal RNA is filed under the name uncultured bacterium. RNAcentral's name for it is "partial 16S ribosomal RNA". It matches the Rfam family "Bacterial small subunit ribosomal RNA", at positions 523 to 918 of the family's 1533-position model. The record is from RNAcentral.
AUACGUAGGGUGCGAGCGUUAAUCGGAAUUACUGGGCGUAAAGCGUGCGCAGGCGGUUUUGUAAGACAGAGGUGAAAUCCCCGGGCUCAACCUGGGAACUGCCUUUGUGACUGCAAGGCUAGAGUACGGCAGAGGGGGAUGGAAUUCCGCGUGUAGCAGUGAAAUGCGUAGAUAUGCGGAGGAACACCGAUGGCGAAGGCAAUCCCCUGGGCCUGUACUGACGCUUAUGCACGAAAGCGUGGGGAGCAAACAGGAUUAGAUGCCCUGGUAGUCCACGCCCUAAACGAUGUCAACUGGUUGUUGGGUCUUCAUUGACUCAGUAACGAAGCUAACGCGUGAAGUUGACCGCCUGGGGAGUACGGCCGCAAGGUUGAAACUCAAAUGAAUUGACGGGG